Molecule: ribosomal RNA, 254 nt
Filed under: uncultured bacterium
Lineage: Bacteria
Description: partial 16S ribosomal RNA
Rfam family: Bacterial small subunit ribosomal RNA
Source: RNAcentral
UACGUAGGGCGCAAGCGUUGUCCGGAAUUAUUGGGCGUAAAGAGCUCGUAGGCGGUCUGUCGCGUCUGCCGUGAAAACCCGAGGCUUAACCUCGUGGCUUGCGGUGGAUACGGGCAGACUAGAGGUAGGUAGGGGAGAAUGGAAUUCCCGGUGUAGCGGUGAAAUGCGCAGAUAUCGGGAGGAACACCGGUGGCGAAGGCGGGUCUCUGGGCAGUAACUGACGCUGAGGAGCGAAAGCGUGGGGAGCGAACAGG